AGUUAGAACAUAGUUUAUUCAUAAGUGGGGGGCAGGGGAGGCAGAGUGUGAAGGGGGGCCCUACAUGACUUAACCCUUGCUUGGCAUGGCCUUAGGUCCUGUUUACAAUUUGGUAUCUUAUGCCACAGAGUCUGUUCUGUCCAUCUCAUGAUCCCUAUUUUGUUCAUUCAUGCUGGGCAGUUGUGUCUAAACCAUAAAGGGAUGGGGCAUGAGCCACCCCGCCCAGCCCUUGACCCCCUUCACAUUUCAUUAGCCAGAGCUGGACUUGUGGCCAGACCUGCCUUGAAGGAGGCAAGGAAAGGUAUGUGAACAUGAGCAACAUCCACACAGGUGGACAAAGUGACCCAUGUGACUUUGGUUCCCUCUCUUUAGGAAGAAUUUUUGGAUGUACUUGGGACAGUUACAGGCAUGCUGCUAUUGCCAUGAUCUUCAGGAAGCUGAAGUGAUGAGCAGCAGUGUGUGAUUCUGAGAACACAGAGGGCUGGGGUCUAGAAGCUAUCUCAGGUGGGCUCACUCAGUGCCAUCCUCCCUCUUGGUGCCUCCCUAGGAAUGCUGAGAAGAUGCAAAACCAAAAGCUUUUACUCCAACAUUGCUUAGCCAAGCUAAACACAUGCAUUCCCUAUGAUUUAACAAUUCUGCUCCUAGUAUGUAUCACAGAGAAAUUGUCCCAUGGGUCCAUAAGGGCAUAUAAGAACGGCCAUUGCAGCACAGUUCUGGUUGGGGUCGGGGGAGCUGAAGGUCAUGUGGUGUCCACCACUGGAGGAAUGGAUGGAUAAAAUGGGAUGGAUGCACAGGUGGGCAGAUGGGUGAAAGGAUGGUCAGUCCUCACGUGGACUAGUUACCUUACUCUUAGGCUAACAACUAGCAUCUCCAGGCAAAAAGAAAACGUUUCUGGAUUCCCUUGCCACUGGAGUUCUGUGGAAGAGAGAAAUGGAGUCCACUAAUGAGAUGCCCUUUGAAGGAUGUGGAUGGAGGAAACAGGGCCAAGCAAGUUUGCCCUGCGGGCCCAGCCUUGGGGAUAUUCAGUCCUUCUGCAGCAGCAUCAAGCUUCUGGCUUUGUGGGUGUCAGGAGGCACGAGUGGCAGUUGCACCCCAAGUCCCAGGGCCCAAGCACAGCUUCUGGGGUGCUUAGAGGGGGUGGAUGGCAGGCAGGACAGUAUGUUCUGAUCUCAGCUCCAGUGGGAGCCUCCUGGAGGCGACUUCUCCAGCCUUCCCAUGUACUUUGUUAAGUACCCUGAUUCCCUUAAAUUCCCUUCUGCCAAAAACAGCUGGAGAAGUUUCUGUUUCCUGAAACUGACCCCUUCCUGAUUGGGAAAUGACUUGCCAAGGUGACAAAGCAAGUUACUGUCACAUCUCAAAUUUGACACAGGCCUCCUGACUACCUAUUAACAGUCCCACUGUCCCAGGCCGGUUUUUUGUUUUUUGGGUUUUUUUUUUUUUUUUUUUUUUUUUUGAGACAGAGCCUCGCUGCCGCCCAGGCUGGAGUGCAGUGGCGUGAUCUUGGCUCACUGCAACUUCCGCCUCCCGGGUUCAAGCAAUUCCCCUGCCUCACCCUCCCAAGUAGCUGGAAUUAUAGGUGCCC
This 1582-nucleotide long non-coding RNA is filed under the name Macaca mulatta (Rhesus monkey). RNAcentral's name for it is "lncRNA (ENSMMUG00000050028.1)". Lineage: Eukaryota; Metazoa; Chordata; Mammalia; Primates; Cercopithecidae. The record is from RNAcentral.